UACGUACCUGGAAGAAGACGUCCACGUGCU
This 30-nucleotide non-coding RNA is filed under the name Rattus norvegicus (Norway rat). Lineage: Eukaryota; Metazoa; Chordata; Mammalia; Rodentia; Muridae. The record is from RNAcentral.